GGAAGAGUUAUCGGAAAAAGCUCCAGUCUGCCAACAGUGAACUGGAAAAGAAGCUUGAUGGUAAGUCUGCCAGCAGUGAAUUGGAAAAGAAGCUUGAUGAUGUACAGGAUUCUGCCAACAGAGAAUUGGAAAAGAAGCUUGAUGAUGUACAGGAGUCUUCCAGCAAUGAAUUGGAAAAGAAGCUUGAUGAUGUACAGGAGUCUGCCGGCAGCAAUGAAUUGGAAAAGAAGCUUGAUGAUGUACAGGAGUCUGCCGGCAGUGAAUUGGAAAAGAAGCUUGAUGAUGUACAGGAGUCUGGCAACACUGAAUUGGAAAAGAAGGUUGAUGAUGAACAGAAGGAAAGCUCAGAUGAGAUCGAAGUUUCUG
Molecule: long non-coding RNA, 366 nt
Filed under: Malus domestica (apple)
Lineage: Eukaryota; Viridiplantae; Streptophyta; Magnoliopsida; Rosales; Rosaceae
Description: long non-coding RNA (MDOM_LNC002072)
Source: RNAcentral